AGAGCGAACGCUGGCGGCAGGCUUAACACAUGCAAGUCGAGCGGAUGUAGCAAUACAUCAGCGGCAGACGGGUGAGUAACACGUGGGAACGUACCUUUUGGUUCGGAACAACACAGGGAAACUUGUGCUAAUACCGGAUAAGCCCUUACGGGGAAAGAUUUAUCGCCGAAAGAUUGGCCCGCGUCUGAUUAGCUAGUUGGUGAGGUAACGGCUCACCAAGGCGACGAUCAGUAGCUGGUCUGAGAGGAUGAUCAGCCACAUUGGGACUGAGACACGGCCCAAACUCCUACGGGAGGCAGCAGUGGGGAAUAUUGGACAAUGGGCGCAAGCCUGAUCCAGCCAUGCCGCGUGAGUGAUGAAGGCCUAGGGUUGUAAAGCUCUUUUGUGCGGGAAGAUAAUGACGGUACCGCAAGAAUAACGCCCGGCUAACUUCGUGCCAGCAGCCGC
This 447-nucleotide ribosomal RNA is filed under the name uncultured bacterium. RNAcentral describes it as "SSU rRNA". It matches the Rfam family "Bacterial small subunit ribosomal RNA", at positions 26 to 518 of the family's 1533-position model. The record is from RNAcentral.